GGCGUGCCUAAUACAUGCAAGUCGAGCGAACUGAUUAGAAGCUUGCUUCUAUGACGUUAGCGGCGGACGGGUGAGUAACACGUGGGCAACCUGCCUGUAAGACUGGGAUAACUUCGGGAAACCGAAGCUAAUACCGGAUAGGAUCUUCUCCUUCAUGGGGGAUGAUUGAAAGAUGGUUUCGGCUAUCACUUACAGAUGGGCCCGCGGUGCAUUAGCUAGUUGGUGAGGUAACGGCUCACCAAGGCAACGAUGCAUAGCCGACCUGAGAGGGUGAUCGGCCACACUGGGACUGAGACACGGCCCAGACUCCUACGGGAGGCAGCAGUAGGGAAUCUUCCGCAAUGGACGAAAGUCUGACGGAGCAACGCCGCGUGAGUGAUGAAGGCUUUCGGGUCGUAAAACUCUGUUGUUAGGGAAGAACAAGUAUGAGAGUAACUGCUCGUACCUUGACGGUACCUAACCAGAAAGCCACGGCUAACUACGUGCCAGCAGCCGCGGUAAUACGUAGGUGGCAAGCGUUAUCCGGAAUUAUUGGGCGUAAAGCGCGCGCAGGCGGUUUCUUAAGUCUGAUGUGAAAGCCCACGGCUCAACCGUGGAGGGUCAUUGGAAACUGGGGAACUUGAGUGCAGAAGAGAAAAGCGGAAUUCCACGUGUAGCGGUGAAAUGCGUAGAGAUGUGGAGGAACACCAGUGGCGAAGG
RNAcentral lists this ribosomal RNA (699 nucleotides) under Priestia sp. Its description in RNAcentral is "bacterial SSU rRNA". It matches the Rfam family "Bacterial small subunit ribosomal RNA", at positions 41 to 721 of the family's 1533-position model. Lineage: Bacteria; Bacillati; Bacillota; Bacilli; Caryophanales; Bacillaceae. The record is from RNAcentral.